UAGGUUGUAAGUUAUUAGACUGUAGGAUUUCAGCACCUAAAGAGGGAAAUUUCUCCCCGGCCUAA
This 65-nucleotide transfer RNA is filed under the name Nuttallia olivacea. RNAcentral's name for it is "tRNA-Trp". The record is from RNAcentral. Lineage: Eukaryota; Metazoa; Mollusca; Bivalvia; Cardiida; Psammobiidae.